RNAcentral lists this long non-coding RNA (623 nucleotides) under Manacus vitellinus (golden-collared manakin). RNAcentral's name for it is "lncRNA (ENSMVIG00005003229.1)". Lineage: Eukaryota; Metazoa; Chordata; Aves; Passeriformes; Pipridae. The record is from RNAcentral.
UGAGUGCUAUUCCCUGAGGCAGCUGCUGGAGAGUAUUGAAGGGCGGCUAAAUCAACAUUGCCUACUUUUUUUUUUUUUUUUUUUUUUUCCCCAGAGACCAAAUGUGUAGCCUCUGUGAUGCAAAUUAUAUUUAACCAGCUCUGGGGACUGAAUAUGGAUUGGUGCUUUGCAAAAAGACCUGAAGAGAGCUGAGGUAGUCUGUGGUAGUCUUGAAAGACGUUGACUUAUGUCUUCUCUUACUAAGAAAGAGAUUGCUACCAUUCUGGAUAGCAUUAUUGUUCCAAGCAUGUGAUGAUUAUUGUUGAAUAUGAGGAAGGGAAAGGAAAGGCACAGUCUGAGGAGACUACUUCAGUGGCACACCUUGAAGACAAAUAAGACUUAUCACACUCUUCCAGCUGUCUGGCAUGUGUUUGCAUUCAUAGCAACCUGCUGCAGUAUGAAGACAAGAUUCUCUCUGCUGCUGAAAGAAGAUAUGGAGCUGGUUGUUCUGAGUGUGUAGCUGCCUUGGGCCAUCCAUGCAACUCCUUGUGCAGGCAAGGAAGACUUAGGAUGAGGCUAGCAGAGCCUACUGGAAAUGUCAUUUUGAGAGACUUAAAUAAAAUUACAGCAUAUACGUAUGUGCA